GGGCCCGCACAAGCAGUGGAUUAUGUGGUUUAAUUCGAAGCAACGCGAAGAACCUUACCAGGUCUUGACAUCGGAUGCAUACCUGAGAGAUCAGGGAAGUCCUUCGGGACAUCCAGACAGGUGGUGCAUGGUUGUCGUCAGCUCGUGUCGUGAGAUGUUGGGUUAAGUCCCGCAACGAGCGCAACCCUUACGAAUAGUUGCUACGCAAGAGCACUCUAUUGGGGACUGCCGUUGACAAAACGGAGGAAGGUGGGGAUGACGUCAAAUCAUCAUGCCCCUUAUGACCUGGGCUACACACGUAAUACAAUGGCGGUCAACAGAGGGAAGCGAAGCCGCGAGGUGGAGCAAAUCCUCAAAAGCCGUCUCAGUUCGGAUUGCAGGCUGCAACCCGCCUGCAUGAAGUCGGAAUUGCUAGUAAUCGCGGAUCAGCAUGCCG
RNAcentral lists this ribosomal RNA (436 nucleotides) under uncultured Bacillota bacterium. RNAcentral's name for it is "bacterial SSU rRNA". It matches the Rfam family "Bacterial small subunit ribosomal RNA", at positions 917 to 1359 of the family's 1533-position model. Lineage: Bacteria; Bacillati; Bacillota. The record is from RNAcentral.